This 3782-nucleotide long non-coding RNA is filed under the name Ceratitis capitata (Mediterranean fruit fly). RNAcentral describes it as "uncharacterized LOC110119094, transcript variant X1". The record is from RNAcentral. Lineage: Eukaryota; Metazoa; Arthropoda; Insecta; Diptera; Tephritidae.
CUCCCGCAACAUUCCCCAAAAAGUACUUUGGGGAAUAAUUUUGCGGUUACAACAACAACAACCUACGCUUUCGUUUCAUAUAAUGGACCUUUUACUCAAGAUCGAAUUUUCAUUUCAACAGAAGAGAGCCAAACUUGGUAGGUGAGCGUAUUUUAAUGAGGACCUAAAGUUCUGUUACAGGUCCAGAAAUAUACACACCUCUCAUAUACUAUAUAAAGUUGGUUAGUUUGCUGUUGGGGUUUUUUAGAAAGAAGUUCCGCUCAUCUCUCUGGAUGCAUGGCAACCGAAAUAAAUCUAGCAAGUCCUGCUCGUAUAUGCCGCAGCAACUGCAACAGAAGACACUAGAGUUAUGUUCAUAAAGGUCCUGUUUAGAGGAAGUAAAUGGUUUGAUCUCUUCUCUUCGAUAAAGAGCCAGAACUGUUUGGUUAUAAUGUGUAUGCCUUUAUCCGGCCAUGUGCUAUUGGCCUUACUGGUCGAAGAUGAAUUUAAAUGGAAUUAACCGUGCUUAGGACUAUUCCGCCUCGAAUAAACCCUUUAUUUUUAACUGAUCUGUGGUCUUAUCACAAAAUGAUCAGCCGUGUAUCAAGUGUUCAUUUUAACACGAACGAAUUGGUUUCUCUAACUCCUUGCUUUUAAAUUGAAACUAUAUCCAUCUGAGACGAUCAGAAAAUCAAAGAUAAUUUUCUGUACAGAUGCCAGACCAAUGAUGCAGCUUAACAAUAAUGUCCUCCACUCAACAUAGCCGAAGAAUGUUUUAUAUGACCCUCUGCGCGUUAGGGAUUCAAGAAUUUACCCGUGGUAAGUCAUGACUUUCACAAGGGGCGACUCAACCCCAAUAGUUCCCGCCACAGUCGGAUCUUUAUACCGAAACGACCCGGAUAUUUUUGCGGUUACAACAACAACAACAAUAACAACAACUUAACAAUAAAGUCAUUCACUUCCAGUCCUCGACGUAACCAACCAACUUAUCUAACACUUGCCUCCAAGUGGUAGGAAUUUAUUAAAAUACGAGUUGGUCAUUUCCUUGCUACGGCUAGAUGAGUUCAUUGAUGUGAGCUAGUGUUACCGGCGCCCAAAAUGGGGUGUAGCGGAUUGUCAAAAAAAAAAAAAAAAAAAAUACAACUAAAAAGACAUAUUCAUUUUCUUCCUAUCAAUCUCAUAGAUCGAAGUGAAGUUUUUCCUUGUAUUUUUCUUCGUCAAUUCAGUAUUUUGUUGCAUCUUAUUGAUUAUGAUUAUUAAAAAUUUAUUUACAAUAAUUCAAAUAACAUAAAAAGGCGAAUGGAAGUCGCCGCGCCAGUCGGCCAAAGACUGUCACUCCCGCAAUAUUUCUCGAAAAUAAAUUUACGAAAUAUAUUUCUUAUUAUAUAGAAAAUUAUUAAAAAAAAAAAUAUAUAUUUUCUUAGAAAUUUUUAGAAACAAGGAAAGAGUCGCGUGUUAUGUUCUAUAAGACUCUUAGCAAGAUUGCUUUAUACGUCACAGGCAAACACGUCAUUUACAAGACGUCAAAGGUAAAAAGUGCUUGUCUGCCUGGCUGGGCUUUCUUUGACUAAUUGUUUUUUUUUUUUUUUUUAUAAAAUUAUGAGAUUUUAAAAGUUUGCUAAAAAUUUUCAGAUAAAAAUUAAAAGGAUUUAACUUGAAUGGCUGACGGAUCAACCCACAGCCUACACCACAAUUCGUAGCGACCUGAAACUUACAGGCUGAGCUUUGCAUAUGGCGUGAGCACCUGACAUGAAAGGAUUCUGCUGGAACUGUUACCGAACUAUACGUAAAAAAAAAUUUAACUUACUCAUAAAUAGUUGUAUUUACAUGGCAUUUGGUAUACACGUAACUCUAAAGAAGAAUUGAUAUGGGAACCACUUUCUCCUACGGCAAGUGGACGUUAGACCGAUACGUUUGAAAACUUGUAUUUAUACUUGAUUAAUAUAAAUUUGGUAUAGAAGUAACUUCCGGCCUGAAAAAACAUUGGUAGUUACGGUAUCAAUUUCUUAGCAACACUGGAAGCUCUAUGACAAAUCAGCCAAGGCAUUAUUAUUGAACAACGCUUUCAAGUUUCGAAGCAAGGUUUUUUUUUAAAGCUACCUAGUGGUCCGGGCAAGACAUUUAUAUUCAACUUUUUGUUGGCCAAAAUGAGAAGCAAACAUUGUAUCGCCUUAACUGUGGCAGCGUCGGAAUAACUGCGCGAAAUAACUUAUUUAUGGGGACCUUCUCUUAACGCGUCUGCGUUGGCGCUCCAUUGGCAUACUCACUUUCCCACUUGCUGUUCCUCCCGCCACACCAAUCAGAAAUGGGGUUUUUAUAUCUGUUUUGUGUUCACAAUUUGGCAGAAAAACAACCGCAUUGUGUAAAAUAUUCAAUCAGCUGUUACGUAGAGAGUUGCCCAUUUGAUAAAAACCAUUUCAACUAAAGGUAAUAUCCCAAUUUCAACUGGCGUUACUUGACAACUUUGAAAACUGCAACGACCAAAUGGAGUAUGGAAAUGUUGUGGUAAUAAACAAACUCAUACUGGCAAACACUUGAUCAAACUGUCAAUAAGAUAACUACCCAACCAGCGUUUCCGAUGUCUUUUAAUUCGAUUUGAUUCGAUUAACUAUGUCGAUGUCGGCGCAUCGCCUUUGCUAUCGCUUACAGCAUACGAAAAUUUUUAGAGGUAUACGAAAGAGCGAAUAGAAAAUGCUUUGUGAACUCCGUAGUGACAGUUUUGUUGGCCGAUAACUCUGACAUGUUUUAGCGCACUUGUAUUGAGUGUUCGUUAUCAAGAACAUAAAUUUACGCUUGCACUUGGUAGAAAACAAGAUGAGUGUUAUGAGAAGUUAGUGAACAGAGUGUGUACAAUAAAGCAACUCUGCAAGAAAUCUUGGAAGUUUUAUUCAAUAAUCCUGUGGUGAAACUCGAAAUUAAGGUUGAAUUUACGAAAACGUGUCUCCCUGGCAACAAUCAAAGCUGAAAGUAGACGGUCUUACCAUGAUACCACUUAUUUAAGACACAUUUUAAAUGGUACAGGAAAGCGGAAGUAUUUACUGAAAUUACUAAUUUAAUAUAUUAUACCUUAGUGCAAACUAACAAAUAUCAAUUAGAAAUGUUAUAAAACAUUUAAAAAUUUUAUACGUUUAAACAGUACAAUUUCUUUAGCACAUAUAUCACCCUGUACUUACAGCAGCAAAUAACUGCCAUAACUGUUCUCUGUUAGUUUCCGUUUUUAUAAAUGGCGAAUGAGCAAGUUCCGGGAAAGUGUAGAAUGUAGUUAAUGUAUUUAAUAAUAAUACCAAAGGAAAUAUGUAUAAGUAAUACUUUUUCUACAUUUUUAUUUAAAUGUGUCGUGUAGUGCGUCGAAAGGGCAGUGUUGGCUUGGAAUUUGUUGGUGAAUUGACUAUGAAUAUCAUUUCAACUGAUAAAGCAUAAGGACGAGUUUAUAGCAUAUGCGUAUAUGUUAUUCGCUAUUAGCUCUGUUCGGUGAGAUAUGUAAGUAACAAUAAACAAGAAUGAAAUGUCAAAAUGGUGCUCUUUCAGUGCAAAUUUUUCCGAAUUUUCGUAAAGUAUAAUUAAGUAACAAAUGUUACAACCGAAAAGGACUAUUAUUAUAUAUUUACUUAAUUAGUCUAUGAGGUUUAGUUUUGGACAACCAGGUCUACUUUGGCACAGUUAUGCCCCUCAUAUUCUUAUUUUUUACUUAAAAAAAAUUGUUGAAUUCGUAGGCGGGACAAAUCUGAGUAACUGAUUUUCAUGAACUUAUUCAUUUUAUCAUAUUCAUUGGUACCCUAUGAACAAAACAAUAAAAGAAAUAU